CUGUGGCCUGGUUCAAGUAAUCCAGGAUAGGCUGUUUCCAUUCUAGCUGGCCUAUUCUUGGUUACUUGCACUGGGAGGCAG
Molecule: microRNA precursor, 81 nt
Organism: Cuculus canorus (common cuckoo)
Lineage: Eukaryota; Metazoa; Chordata; Aves; Cuculiformes; Cuculidae
Rfam family: mir-26 microRNA precursor family
About the family: The hairpin precursors (represented here) are predicted based on base pairing and cross-species conservation -- their extents are not known. In this case the mature sequence is excised from the 5' arm of the hairpin.
Source: Rfam